Molecule: ribosomal RNA, 420 nt
Filed under: Potamonautes sp. 1 SRD-2011
Lineage: Eukaryota; Metazoa; Arthropoda; Malacostraca; Decapoda; Potamonautidae
Description: partial 16S ribosomal RNA
Rfam family: Bacterial large subunit ribosomal RNA (bases 297-420)
Source: RNAcentral
UUUAAUUGGAAUCUUGUAUGAAUGAUUGGACAAGAAAAAUACUGUCUCUGUAUUAGAAAUUGAAUUUAACUUUUAAGUGAAAAGGCUUAAAUACACUAGAGGGACGAUAAGACCCUAUAAAACUUUACAUUGUGAAUUAAUAUUUAUUAAUUUAUUUAAUAAUAAUGAAAUUUAAUUUAUUUGUUAUGUUGGGGAGACAUAAGCUAUAAUUUAUAUUAACUGCUUGAAAAUAAAACAGAAAUAAGUGAUUAAGUUUAAGGUCCUUUAUAGAGAUUGCAAGAUCAAGUUACUUUAGGGAUAACAGCGUUAUUUUUUUUGAGAGUUCUUAUCGAAAAAAGAGAUUGCGACCUCGAUGUUGAAUUAAAAUAUCUUUAUAAUGUAGGUGUUAUAAAAGAGGGUCUGUUCGACCUUUAAUUUUUU